AUUGAACGCUGGCGGUAUGCUUAACACAUGCAAGUCGAACGGUAACAUUGGAGCUUGCUCCAGAUGACGAGUGGCGGACGGGUGAGUAACGCGUAAGAAUCUGCCUAUUAGUGGGGGACAACUCGGGGAAACUCGAGCUAAUACCGCAUACGCCCUACGGGGGAAAGCAGGGGAUCUUCGGACCUUGCGCUAUUAGAUGAGCUUGCGUUGGAUUAGCUUGUUGGUGAGGUAAUGGCUCACCAAGUCUGCGAUCCAUAGCUGGUCUGAGAGGACGAUCAGCCACACUGGGACUGAGACACGGCCCAG
Molecule: ribosomal RNA, 306 nt
Filed under: uncultured bacterium
Lineage: Bacteria
Description: bacterial SSU rRNA
Rfam family: Bacterial small subunit ribosomal RNA
Source: RNAcentral